UACGUAGGGCGCAAGCGUUGUCCGGAAUUAUUGGGCGUAAAGAGCUCGUAGGCGGCCAGUUGCGUCUGCUGUGAAAUCCCGGGGCUCAACCCCGGGCGUGCAGUGGAUACGGGCUGGCUAGAGGCAGGCAGGGGAGAACGGAAUUCCCGGUGUAGCGGUGAAACGCGCAGAUAUCGGGAGGAACACCGGUGGCGAAGGCGGUUCUCUGGGCCUGUACUGACGCUGAGGAGCGAAAGCGUGGGGAGCGAACAGG
This 253-nucleotide ribosomal RNA is filed under the name uncultured bacterium. RNAcentral describes it as "partial 16S ribosomal RNA". It matches the Rfam family "Bacterial small subunit ribosomal RNA", at positions 524 to 776 of the family's 1533-position model. The record is from RNAcentral.